Non-coding RNA from Acanthosepion pharaonis, 108 nucleotides. Lineage: Eukaryota; Metazoa; Mollusca; Cephalopoda; Sepiida; Sepiidae. The record is from the annotation of a GenBank genome assembly.
CGGCUACAUCACGAUGAAACACCGAUUCCCGUUCGAUCAUCGAAGUUAAGUAACAUUGCGCCUGAUCAGUGCCAAAAUGGGUGAUCACUUAGAAAUACCAGAUGCUAU